UGGGGAAUAUUGCACAAUGGGCGCAAGCCUGAUGCAGCGACGCCGCGUGGGGGAUGACGGCCUUCGGGUUGUAAAACCUCUUUCAGCAGGGACGAAGCGAAAAGUGACGGUACCUGCAGAAGAAGCACCGGCCAACUACGUGCCAGCAGCCGCGGUAAUACGUAGGGUGCGAGCGUUGUCCGGAAUUACUGGGCGUAAAGAGCUCGUAGGUGGUUUGUCGCGUUGUUCGUGAAAACCGGGGGGCUUAACCCUCGGCGUGCGGGCGAUACGGGCAGACUAGAGUACUGCAGGGGAGACUGGAAUUCCUGGUGUAGCGGUGGAAUGCGCAGAUAUCAGGAGGAACACCGGUGGCGAAGGCGGGUCUCUGGGCAGUAACUGACGCUGAGGAGCGAAAGCGUGGGGAGCGAACAGGAUUAGAUACCCUGGUAGUCCACGCCGUAAACGGUGGGUACUAGGUGUGGGGUUUCCUUCCUUGGGAUCCGUGCCGUAGCUAACGCAUUAAGUACCCCGCCUGGGGAGUACGGCCGCAAGGCUAAAACUCAAAGGAAUUGAC
RNAcentral lists this ribosomal RNA (553 nucleotides) under uncultured bacterium. RNAcentral describes it as "partial 16S ribosomal RNA". It matches the Rfam family "Bacterial small subunit ribosomal RNA", at positions 355 to 914 of the family's 1533-position model. The record is from RNAcentral.